CUUCCCAUGGGGCCUUCAAUACUAUCCUCUCUCUUCACACCGACCUCCGCAACCUCACCCUCUCCUUCUAUGGUGACACCCUCCUAUCCAUUCCUUCCUCGUCGACGAUCUAUUUUAUAUGAUUAAGGAAUAUUUUCAUCUAUUGAAAUAAAAAGUUAAUACCAUUUAUUAGUAAGUGAAUGACAAGACUAUUUUGAAAUAUUUCAAAAAUUUGAAGGGCUAAUUUGAUACUUUUUAAAAUCAAGAGAGUAUAAAUGAAAUUAGACUAAAGUUGAAAGGAUGUUUCUGUAAUUUAUCUUAAAAACUAUGAAUCUAACUCUACCUAGGCUUGAUCCAAGCUUGUGCAGCUAGAG
Molecule: long non-coding RNA, 353 nt
Filed under: Elaeis guineensis (African oil palm)
Lineage: Eukaryota; Viridiplantae; Streptophyta; Magnoliopsida; Arecales; Arecaceae
Description: long non-coding RNA (EGUI_LNC037309)
Source: RNAcentral